UAGCUGACGGAGCGCCAUUUUCAUGGAGGAGAAGAGACUGAAUUUAGAGAAAAAAUCAAAUUAAAGCAUCCAUCCAACAUCACUAUCAACGGUUGUAUCGAUACUAUUGAUACUUGGAUCGAUCCGCGCACCGCGAUCUCCUGAAUCUGACCUGAGAACAGCAUUGUCAGGUCCUGUAGGUGGGCUCAGCUAAAGGCCCCGUGGCAGCUACCAUCUGGACAGCAGCGGCUGUCGUCAGGCUUUGUAGCAGCUACUAUCCUGCAUCGGGACGACCGUCUUCGGAUCUUGCAGCAGCAGAAUGAGUCUCUGGGAGAUCAGUGAGAACAUGAAGCUGGCCCGGGAACACGCCCUGCGAGGAGACUACAGCCAGGCCAGCGUUCUCUAUCAGGUGUUGCUUGACAAAUCAUAUGAUUGAGACCAGUGAACUUGAGCCUCUGUGAGCAUUUGUUCCUCCUCUGCCCUCCAGACACAUUUCUUGUAAACUUUAUAUUGAUAUGAUUAUAGUUUCUUAUAUUGAGACAAUGAUUGUUAAUCUCUCACCGAUAAAUUAAAAAAACUACGCUGAAAAAGUAGCCGGAAAUGCACAGGUGGGAUCAGCCGUGCUGAACAGGCCGAUCGUGUUCCUUAUGUGUAGUUGUAUUUCUCAGGAGCUGCAUGUCAGGUUACGGCGGAGGGUUCAGAGGGCUUUCUGGUUACAGCGUAGAUUUCCUGCUGAAGUCUAAAUUCCCAGUAAGCCUGGUUCUGCCAGAGGUCUUUUCCUGUUAAAAAGUUCUUCUACCCCACCAUCCUCUUCCUGAUGAAUGAAUACAUCUCAGGACUGGUACUU
Long non-coding RNA from Archocentrus centrarchus (flier cichlid), 826 nucleotides. RefSeq lists it as uncharacterized. The transcript has 3 exons. The record is from RefSeq and is a predicted model, not a curated record. Lineage: Eukaryota; Metazoa; Chordata; Actinopteri; Cichliformes; Cichlidae.